Molecule: ribosomal RNA, 223 nt
Filed under: Clostridioides difficile
Lineage: Bacteria; Bacillati; Bacillota; Clostridia; Peptostreptococcales; Peptostreptococcaceae
Description: partial 16S ribosomal RNA
Rfam family: Bacterial small subunit ribosomal RNA
Source: RNAcentral
CUACAUGAAGCUGGAGUUACUAGUAAUCGACGAUCAGAAAGCGGCGGUGAAUGCGUUCCCGGGUCUUGUACACACCGCCCGUCACACCACGGGAGUUGGAGACGCCCGAAGCCGAUUAUCUAACCUUGUGGAAGAAGUCGUCGAAGGUGGAAUCAAUAACUGGGGUGAAGUCGUAACAAGGUAGCCGUAUCGGAAGGUGCGGCUGGAUCACCUCCUUUCUAAG